GGUGAGGGAAGCUCAUCAGCAGGGACACAAGUUGGGUGCUUAUCACUUGCUGGCCCCUGGGAAGUUCUGAGACUGGGCCCUCCCCAAGAAAGCAGGGAGGUGAAUUCCCAGAGCAGGCAGACCCUGCCGGAGAGGCCCUGGGUGGGCGGCAGAUGCCUCCCUCACAGGAACUUGGAAGAGACUCAGGGCCAGGAUGCACAGGGCUGGUAUUAGCCUACAGGAGAGACUCCUGUGGCUCUCACCGAAGAUGGAAAUGCAUUCUCUCUACAGGCAGGCAGAGGUGGGGGAGAUAUGUGAGGUUGGGAGUUUACUGCCUGCACCCUCUGAAUCUAAAUCCCCCUCC
This 343-nucleotide RNase P RNA is filed under the name Peromyscus maniculatus bairdii (prairie deer mouse). Its description in RNAcentral is "Nuclear RNase P (ENSPEMG00000004363.2)". It matches the Rfam family "Nuclear RNase P". Rfam says of the family: Ribonuclease P (RNase P) is a ubiquitous endoribonuclease, found in archaea, bacteria and eukarya as well as chloroplasts and mitochondria. Its best characterised activity is the generation of mature 5'-ends of tRNAs by cleaving the 5'-leader elements of precursor-tRNAs. Cellular RNase Ps are ribonucleoproteins. Lineage: Eukaryota; Metazoa; Chordata; Mammalia; Rodentia; Cricetidae. The record is from Rfam by way of RNAcentral.